UCGCCCUACGGGGGGCAGCAGUGGGGAAUAUUGGGCAAUGGAGGAAACUCUUACCCAGCAAUGCCGCGUGAAUGAAGAAGGUCUUCGGAUUGUAAAGUUCUUUAAUUGGGGACGAAAAAAAUGACGGUACCCAAGGAAUAAGCCCCGGCUAACUACGUGCCAGCAGCCGCGGUAAUACGGAGGAUGCGAGCGUUAUCCGGAUUCAUUGGGUUUAAAGGGUGCGCAGGCGGGCCUUUAAGCCGGCGGGGAAAUCGCGGG
Molecule: ribosomal RNA, 258 nt
Filed under: uncultured bacterium
Lineage: Bacteria
Description: partial 16S ribosomal RNA
Rfam family: Bacterial small subunit ribosomal RNA
Source: RNAcentral